CAGCUUGCUGGGUGGAUCAGUGGCGAACGGGUGAGUAACACGUGAGCAACCUGCCCCUGACUCUGGGAUAAGCGCUGGAAACGGCGUCUAAUACUGGAUAUGAAUCAUGGCCGCAUGGUCUGUGGUUGGAAAGAUUUUUCGGUUGGGGAUGGGCUCGCGGCCUAUCAGCUUGUUGGUGAGGUAAUGGCUCACCAAGGCGUCGACGGGUAGCCGGCCUGAGAGGGUGACCGGCCACACUGGGACUGAGACACGGCCCAGACUCCUACGGGAGGCAGCAGUGGGGAAUAUUGCACAAUGGGCGCAAGCCUGAUGCAGCAACGCCGCGUGAGGGAUGACGGCCUUCGGGUUGUAAACCUCUUUUGGCAAGGAAGAAGCCUUCGGGUGACGGUACUUGCAGAAAAAGCGCCGGCUAACUACGUGCCAGCAGCCGCGGUAAUACGUAGGGCGCAAGCGUUAUCCGGAAUUAUUGGGCGUAAAGAGCUCGUAGGCGGUUUGUCGCGUCUGCUGUGAAAUCCCGAGGCUCAACCUCGGGCCUGCAGUGGGUACGGGCAGACUAGAGUGCGGUAGGGGAGAUUGGAAUUCCUGGUGUAGCGGUGGAAUGCGCAGAUAUCAGGAGGAACACCGAUGGCGAAGGCAGAUCUCUGGGCCGUAACUGACGCUGAGGAGCGAAAGGGUGGGGAGCAAACAGGCUUAGAUACCC
RNAcentral lists this ribosomal RNA (700 nucleotides) under Microbacterium sp. RNAcentral describes it as "bacterial SSU rRNA". It matches the Rfam family "Bacterial small subunit ribosomal RNA", at positions 76 to 787 of the family's 1533-position model. Lineage: Bacteria; Bacillati; Actinomycetota; Actinomycetes; Micrococcales; Microbacteriaceae. The record is from RNAcentral.